Molecule: ribosomal RNA, 466 nt
Filed under: uncultured bacterium
Lineage: Bacteria
Description: partial 16S ribosomal RNA
Rfam family: Bacterial small subunit ribosomal RNA
Source: RNAcentral
GAUGAACGCUGGCGGCGUGCUUAACACAUGCAAGUCGAACGGAAAGGCUCCUGCUUGCAGGGGUACUCGAGUGGCGAACGGGUGAGUAACACGUGGGUGAUCUGCCCUGCACUUCGGGAUAAGCCCGGGAAACUGGGUCUAAUACCGGAUAGGACGAUGGUUUGGAUGCCAUUGUGGAAAGUUUUUUCGGUGUGGGAUGAGCUCGCGGCCUAUCAGCUUGUUGGUGGGGUAAUGGCCUACCAAGGCGUCGACGGGUAGCCGGCCUGAGAGGGUGUACGGCCACAUUGGGACUGAGAUACGGCCCAGACUCCUACGGGAGGCAGCAGUGGGGAAUAUUGCACAAUGGGCGCAAGCCUGAUGCAGCGACGCCGCGUGGGGGAUGACGGCCUUCGGGUUGUAAACUCCUUUCGCUAGGGACGAAGCGCAAGUGACGGUACCUGGAGAAGAAGCACCGGCUAACUACGUG